RNAcentral lists this transfer RNA (77 nucleotides) under Orenia metallireducens. Its description in RNAcentral is "tRNA-Trp". It matches the Rfam family "tRNA". Rfam says of the family: Transfer RNA (tRNA) molecules are approximately 80 nucleotides in length. Their secondary structure includes four short double-helical elements and three loops (D, anti-codon, and T loops). Lineage: Bacteria; Bacillati; Bacillota; Clostridia; Halanaerobiales; Halobacteroidaceae. The record is from RNAcentral.
ACGGGAAUAGCUCAAUUUGGUAGAGCACUGGACUCCAAAUCCAGGUGUUGCGGGUUCAAGUCCUGCUUCCCGUGCCA